CUGACAUGCAUCGGGAAAUGGAGUACAAACAUCUGCAGCAAUUCUCGGUCUUACAUCUGCAAAACACCCAAAGUUGUUGCACCUACAAAGAAACCUCCAUCUCCUGCGCCCUUUGUUAAAGAAGCUUCCCAUCGGUCUGCUGGUGUCACUGUGGCUAUAGUACUGGUUGUAAUUGCCAUAGCUGGACUUGGUGCAUUCCUCCUCUUCCGUAAGCGGAUACCCACCCCUGUCCUGGGAGAAUGUACCUUUGACAACAGGUUGUACUUCAACAAUCCAUUCCAAGCCACAGUGGACACCAGGGCCCUGGUGACCAACAUCGAGCAGAACGAACAAGCAUAGAAAGAUUAGAUCAGUUGUGAUCAGCUCAAUAAAAUAAGAUCAAUCAAUCCCAAACGGGCUUCUACGUAGUACUGAGUUAAGGGUCUGAAUGCUUUUUUGCAAUGAGUAUCGUUUUUUUUUUGUUUUUUUUUAAAUAAAUUUGCAAACAUUUUCAAAAGCAUGUAUUUUGGUCAUUAUGGGUUAUUAACUAUAAUUUGAUAGACAAAAAUGGAAAUUUUAUAGUUUCAAUUCUAUCAAAUGUACAACAGUAAAGUGUGCAAAAACUAAAGGCAUGUGAAAUUGUUCUGGGGUGAUAAUGCAGAUUUAGUCUUUACUGUACUGCGAUCUGUUUUCGUGGAGGCAUUGCAUGAAAAACUGCAUAAAUGCAGAAUCUACAGUAUAUACUGCACCAAAUGUAGUCCAGACUAUCUAAAUUUGAUCAAAUUUUCAGGUCAGCACAAUGUCCAUGUACCAGGUUGUGGGUUCCAGUAAAAACAUUGUUUGCAUACAUUCAAUGGAAUGACAAUCAUGUUUAAGCUAAAGAGAUCCUUGAUUUAAAAAAAAAUAUCAGCGUGAACUUUUAGUUCACGUUUAGUGUUUUGGAUUUUUUUAUUUAAAAGAAGACGAGUCUAUUGUCACUGCCAUUAUGAGGAAACAAGUAUUAAUUUAUCUUGGAGGGGGGAUAGUUUGAAUUAACAAAUACAGCAGUGAAAUUAAACCAGUGAUGUAUUUGUUAUAUUGUUGUGCUUCUGACAUUUUACAGUUGUCACGUUUUGCCACUAGAUGGUGAUGAAUAAGUAUGAGAAGCAUCAGAGCUGAUUUGUUUUCUGUUGCAUCAUAUAUCUUUGGUUCACAGUCACUAGCCUGUGGAUGUCACGUUAUCAAGUCUAGUAGUGUUCGGUUUUGGAAAAUGUUCAGGUUGAAUAUAAGGGAUGACUAAUGUGUGUGUUUUAUAUGAUUACAACAAUGAAGGUCAUCUAUUAUGCCCAGCUGAUUGAUAAGAUGGAAUAAAGUGCAAUCAC
Molecule: long non-coding RNA, 1340 nt
Organism: Monopterus albus (swamp eel)
Lineage: Eukaryota; Metazoa; Chordata; Actinopteri; Synbranchiformes; Synbranchidae
Exons: 3
Source: RefSeq, a predicted model, not a curated record